This 1487-nucleotide long non-coding RNA is filed under the name Homo sapiens (human). RNAcentral's name for it is "HSALNT0285906". Lineage: Eukaryota; Metazoa; Chordata; Mammalia; Primates; Hominidae. The record is from RNAcentral.
GCGGUGAUGAGCAGCUCUGUUGCAGAUCAUACCCCUGGAUACCUUCAAGAAAAAAAGCAUCUGUUUGGCCUUGAAUUAAGUUAUUUGGUCUCUGAUUGUUGCUCUGCACCUCUCCCUGCACAAAACCCCGGAGAAAGGGAAGCAAACAUUGGCUCCCAGAGAACUAUGAGGAAACUGAGAGCUGAGAGAAGUUAAGUCACUUUACCCAAGGGCACAAAGCCUAUGAAUGGAAAGCUAGGAUUUGAUCCCUGGUUUGUAUGAUUUCAAUAGUAGUGCUUUUAACUACUACAUAGUUGUCACCCCUUUCUUUUCUUCUAGGGUCCCUCCCUGACCACAAAUAUAAUAUAAUGUCAGGAAUUCCUUAUACUAUCCCCUAGCUACCUAGGAACUAAAACUACAGUAACCAUCUAUGCCUGUCCUCCAGAGUAAUGCCCCAUUGUACAAAAUUUCCCAUAUUAUCUAAUAUCUCCCCAUGGAACUCUGGGUUUCCCAUCAAAUCUUUCAAUAAAAUUAUGGCUUUAAAUAAUAAAAAUCAUUUCAGGUCCUCCUAAUACUAAUUGAUAAAUUUUUCUUGUAUAUAUCCACCUACCCACAUAAACACGCAUCCUCUUAUUCUACUAGUUCACCUAUAUUGAGUACUUACUAUGUGCCAGACAUCAAGUUAAUCACUUCACAUGAAUCUUCUCAUGUGCUUCUCCACAGUAACCCUAUGAGGUAGCUGCUAUUAUUACAUCUGUUUUACACAUGAGAAAACUGAAGCUCAGAAAAGCUCCAAAGUUCAGAAAAGCUCCAAGCAAGUGGAGGAGUUAGGGUUUGAAUUCAGAUGUGUUUCACUUGAGAGCCCAAACCCCUAAACCACUACAUUCUACUUCCCCUUUUCUUAACAGUGAUAAGUCAUGUUGAUCGUACAUACCAGUCAUAUAAUGUGGUCAAAAUAGCCCUUUACUUCUGUGGAGUUCCUCCCAAAUCCCACAGCCCCAGCAUAAUUAUGAGAAAAACAUAAUACGAAUAUCAGUGGAGGAACUUUCUAAAAAAUACCUAACCAGUACUCCCCAAAACUGUCAAGGUCAUGAAAAAGAAGGAAAAAAUUCCAGGUGACAUCUAUGAAAAUGAUGGAGUAGGGAACUCCUGUGAAAGUUCUCAGAAUCAAAAUGGAGUCACUGUGGAAAAAAAAAAUGACAAAUAGAGCCAGGGAAGACCAUGAAGGGAGGAUUCUCAUGCAUAAAUGACAGAUAACAAGAACUUUCAGAAAAGACUGCAAAAACCACAACCUUGCACAAAGGCCAUCACAACCUCACACACACAAAAAUACUUCUGCAAGGAUAUCUGCCCAUCAGCUGCCUGUCCAGCCUUGGAGUGAUGCCACCCUUGUUACUGAUCCUUGUAGCCAAGGAUAAGUAUCUCCAAACAAUUAAGUAAUCCUCAUUUUUCUUUUAAAAACUUUGUCUUCAUCUACCUCCCCAAAAACGCACAUAGUUUACUAGGAC